GGGGAUUUAGCUCAGUGGCAUAAGUACCUGCCUUGCAAGCAUGCGGUGGUAAGUUCAAUCCCCA
This 64-nucleotide transfer RNA is filed under the name Cavia porcellus (domestic guinea pig). It matches the Rfam family "tRNA". Rfam says of the family: Transfer RNA (tRNA) molecules are approximately 80 nucleotides in length. Their secondary structure includes four short double-helical elements and three loops (D, anti-codon, and T loops). Further hydrogen bonds mediate the characteristic L-shaped molecular structure. tRNAs have two regions of fundamental functional importance: the anti-codon, which is responsible for specific mRNA codon recognition, and the 3' end, to which the tRNAs corresponding amino acid is attached (by aminoacyl-tRNA synthetases). tRNAs cope with the degeneracy of the genetic code in two manners: having more than one tRNA (with a specific anti-codon) for a particular amino acid; and 'wobble' base-pairing, i.e. permitting non-standard base-pairing at the 3rd anti-codon position. Lineage: Eukaryota; Metazoa; Chordata; Mammalia; Rodentia; Caviidae. The record is from Rfam by way of RNAcentral.